GAGUAAAUUUUUUUUGUCGUCUUUCUGAUUAUAUUAAAACCCAAUAGGGCAGAUUACAUAUGGUUCCAAGCCCAGAAACAUUACAACUUAAAUUUAAGCCCAUAAACAUAAUUGGAUAACUAUUGGUAGACUUAAACACGUGUAGCACACGUGGCUGCUUUGGGAAGAAACUAGAUUGACGGUGAGAACUGAGAAGAUGCCGCCGAACAUCGACGAUACAGAGCUUCCGGAACCAAAAUCCGAUGAACAUAAAAUCCAUCAGAUCCAAUAGCUGCCACAUGAUUUUAUGUCUCCGCCGGUACCAUCGUAAACUCCUUCUACAAUAAAGAACUUGGGUGGUCAAAAUUCUUUACACCUCCAUUAAAUGCAGUUCCGACCAUCUUUGACUCAUGACUAUUACCCUCCACCUUGAAAAAAGUUCUUCAUGAGGGAACCAAAGGAGAUCUAACAUCCCAGCCGUGAGAGGACGAUGCCAAAUGUUGGAGUAGAAGCCUUCACCACCAUCACCUUACCACCUCUUGAAAGAAAGCGGUUAGAUCUGUAGAAGAAGGACAAGAUCCGAAAUCGAAAAAACCAAUUGCUUGAUUUCUAAAUUCUCCAUCUUAGCCAAAUCUUCAAAUUUGGAAAGAAUUUUCGCUCCACUAAGGAUUAGCGAAGAGUUUCUUUUUACAAACAUGAAAAUUCGAUCUUAAAAGCAAAAGGAAUUUCGAAAGCAGAAAAGCAAAAGGAAUUUCGAAAGCAGAAAAGCAAAAUCCGGUUAACACCGGAAAAGUAAAAUCCGUAAAACGGAAAGACAUAUUACACAUAAAUCUGGUUAUACCGGAAUUUAUUCUCCGAUUGAACGGAUGAAAAAACAAAAAAGAGAAGAUCGCUCUCUCUCUCUGUGAAAGAUCUAGAGAGAGAACAGAGAGAGGAGCCCAGGAAAAAGAACAUUGACUUUUCAAUCGAGUAAAUUUCUUUAAAUUAAGUAAAUUCAGUUAGUUCAGUUAAUUCGGUUAAAU
Molecule: long non-coding RNA, 1001 nt
Filed under: Eutrema salsugineum
Lineage: Eukaryota; Viridiplantae; Streptophyta; Magnoliopsida; Brassicales; Brassicaceae
Description: long non-coding RNA (ESAL_LNC001334)
Source: RNAcentral